Molecule: ribosomal RNA, 253 nt
Filed under: uncultured bacterium
Lineage: Bacteria
Description: partial 16S ribosomal RNA
Rfam family: Bacterial small subunit ribosomal RNA
Source: RNAcentral
UACAGAGGUCCCAAGCGUUGUUCGGAUUCACUGGGCGUAAAGGGUGCGUAGGUGGUGAUCUAAGUCGGGUGUGAAAUCUCCGGGCUCAACCCGGAGACUGCGCUCGAAACUGGAUCGCUAGAGGAUGGGAGGGGAGACUGGAAUUCUCGGUGUAGCAGUGAAAUGCGUAGAUAUCGAGAGGAACACCGGUGGCGAAGGCGAGUCUCUGGACCAUUCCUGACACUGAGGCACGAAAGCCGGGGGAGCAAACAGG